RNAcentral lists this ribosomal RNA (253 nucleotides) under uncultured bacterium. RNAcentral describes it as "partial 16S ribosomal RNA". It matches the Rfam family "Bacterial small subunit ribosomal RNA", at positions 524 to 776 of the family's 1533-position model. The record is from RNAcentral.
UACGUAGGGUGCGAGCGUUGUCCGGAAUUAUUGGGCGUAAAGGGCUCGUAGGCGGUUUGUCGCGUCGGGAGUGAAAACCCAGGGCUUAACCCUGGGCUGGCUUCCGAUACGGGCAGACUAGAGGUAUGCAGGGGAGAACGGAAUUCCUGGUGUAGCGGUGAAAUGCGCAGAUAUCAGGAGGAACACCGGUGGCGAAGGCGGUUCUCUGGGCAUUACCUGACGCUGAGGAGCGAAAGCAUGGGGAGCAAACAGG